UACGUAGGGUGCAAGCGUUGUCCGGAAUUAUUGGGCGUAAAGAGCUCGUAGGCGGUUUGUCGCGUCGGCUGUGAAAACUCGGGGCUCAACCCCGAGCCUGCAGUCGAUACGGGCAGACUAGAGUGCUGUAGGGGAGACUGGAAUUCCUGGUGUAGCGGUGAAAUGCGCAGAUAUCAGGAGGAACACCGGUGGCGAAGGCGGGUCUCUGGGCAGUAACUGACGCUGAGGAGCGAAAGCGUGGGGAGCGAACAGG
RNAcentral lists this ribosomal RNA (253 nucleotides) under uncultured bacterium. Its description in RNAcentral is "partial 16S ribosomal RNA". It matches the Rfam family "Bacterial small subunit ribosomal RNA", at positions 524 to 776 of the family's 1533-position model. The record is from RNAcentral.